AAAAAGGAAAAUGUGUCACCCAGUAUCUCCAUGGCAACGAAGAGGGGGACCAUAGAGGAGAAAUACUUUUCAGGCACUAAAGAAGAAACGGCAUGAAGGUUUUUCAGUCUCAACAAGAUGCCCACCAAGCAUCAAGAUGGUGGCUUUUUUUUUUUUUUUUUGGGUCUUUUUUUUUUUUUUUUUUUUUUUUUGGAGCUGGGGACCGAACCUAGGGCCUUGCGCUUCCUAGGUAAGCACUCUACCACUGAGCUAAAUCCCCAGCCCCAAGAUGGUGGCUUUUAACAUAAAAAGUACCAUGGACUCAGGGGCAGAGGCAGAGGUGGGAGGAUCCCUGGGGCUCACUGUUCAUCAGCCUCGAGGAAAAGUGGCAGUGUACCCAGGUUUGGUGAGAAACCCCAUCUCAAGGAAUUAAGGUGGACAUGAAUAGAGAGGGACACAUAGCAGCUACCUCUACUCUCUGCACAGUAUGCACACAUGCGCACAUACCAUGUACAUUCAGGCAAACACGAGUCAGAUACACAAAAACAUUAAAUGUUAGAAAAUGUUUAAAAGCAUUUCUCUAUUCCAGGGCAAGACAAACUUGGAAUCUGUUUGCUAGGCUUGGUUUCCCAUUCCCUUCCAUGCUUUGGUGGUUUCUGCUUGCCUUAUGGGCAAAAUAAUCCUCCCAACAGAAUACAAAAAGCCACC
RNAcentral lists this long non-coding RNA (687 nucleotides) under Rattus norvegicus (Norway rat). RNAcentral describes it as "long non-coding RNA NONRATT027831". Lineage: Eukaryota; Metazoa; Chordata; Mammalia; Rodentia; Muridae. The record is from RNAcentral.